This is a long non-coding RNA of Cebus imitator (Panamanian white-faced capuchin), 1601 nucleotides long. RefSeq lists it as uncharacterized. NCBI's taxonomy places the organism in Eukaryota, Metazoa, Chordata, Mammalia, Primates, Cebidae. The record is from RefSeq and is a predicted model, not a curated record. The transcript has 2 exons.
GGCAAUAUAGCUGGAUAAAGUAUCUUCGUCCAAGACCAAGAGAAACACAGUCAAUAGCAGGAAUGAUGAAAGGCAUCAAGCAAAGUGGGGAUGCAGAUGAGAAAACAAGAUCAGAAGACAGAAAUAUCUGAAACAAGUCACAAAUGCAUAGUAUGAGCUCUCAGUGAAUGUACAAGUUACAGGUGGAAUUAAGUGCUCUGCAGAAAGGAGCAUGAGUCUGUGAGAGGAACAGAGGACCAUAUGCUUACCUAGGAACCAAGGAAGACUUCCCUGAGAACUUAACCCUUGUUUGGACUCUGUUGUCUUUAUGCUAAGAAUUUUAAUAAGGAGCAGAUAAUAGACAUGAUCCAGUGCACAUUUUUAGAGGAAUAUCACGAGUCCUAUCCCUUCACCUUCUAAAUAUUUCUGAUAUGUGUUCCUUCUCCAUCCUCAUGACCUUCACUGGCAUGGGCCUCCAUCAGCUCACUGUGGGGGAAGUUUCACUCAAGGGGCACUGAUAACACAUCUCAUUAAAACUAUACCACAUCAUUAUACCUCCCCAACAUAAUAUUUACAUGUAUUUAUUUGACUAUAUAUGGAUUACUAUCCUAUUUAUUACAUAUAUUAAGAGCAUACACAAAAAAUUAAAAAUCCAAAUGGUAAGAUUUUACAUUUUAGAUUUAUUUGAUAAUAAUACUUUAUUCUAUUACUAAACAUAUAUUCCUAAUUGUCAUUAAGAUAUCAUGUUAGAAAAAUUUGCUCUACUAUACCAUACCAUUUUUUAAAAUCUUAGUUUAAUACUCUGUAACACAGCAAUUAACAAAUCUACUUCCAAAUUUGGCUUAUUUUGAUUCUUUCAUUUAAUGACUGUCAUAGCUGAAAAAGGACCCCAUAGAGACCCAACAGAGGCAGUGCCCUAUUGGCUAUACCUCCCAAAUAAAGCCAUUUAUUUCUCAAUCUCAUUCACUAAUUUACAAAGAUUUACUUAUUUUUCAUUGUUAGUCUGCAAAUGUACACUUAAAUGAGGGUUAUCCUUAAUAAUUAGUAUGUGAAUAAGAAUAUGACAUCUACCUUUGUGAAACUUGCACAUUACAGAAGCUCAAUAAAUAUUUGUUGAAUGAAUAAAUGAGUAAAUAGAAUAUUUUUACAAUUAAGUAGCUUUAAUUAUUUUAUAUUUAAAUUUCAAGUCUUUAGAGGAGAAGGAAUUGAAAAAAUAUGAAAUAUCAAAUAUACGUUUAGCUACGUUUUUAAAGGUUAGUAGCCUAUAUGCACAAAUCAAAUGAGUAGCAAUUUUUGGAGCUGUAACUAUUUUUGGAAUCUUGCGUGAAUAAAUUACAAUUUUAAAACAUCAAGAAUAAGUGCCCAUUGAAUGUCAUUUUUUAAAAGGAAAAAAGAAACCUCAGUCUCUAUUUAAAAAGUAACAUAUUUAACAGUUUUCUAGUUUAUGCAAAUUAUCUGGAAAACUCAGAACCCCAACCACCAAAAGAUUACCUUCCAUAACAGUAAGUGUGGUUUUGGCUUCCAGAAUCAUCUGGAUAAGUGCCAGCAUUCUCCAAGUCACAUUCUUGGUAUGAAAUGAACUUUUGUAAAUGGAGUCUAAUUAAAUCUUGUGCUAAAAAGAA